This 301-nucleotide ribosomal RNA is filed under the name uncultured bacterium. Its description in RNAcentral is "partial 16S ribosomal RNA". It matches the Rfam family "Bacterial small subunit ribosomal RNA", at positions 509 to 809 of the family's 1533-position model. The record is from RNAcentral.
CAGUAGCCGCGGGAAUACGUAGGGGGCAAGCGUUAUCCGGAUUUACUGGGUGUAAAGGGAGCGUAGACGGAAUGGCAAGUCUGAAGUGAAAUGCCCGGGCUCAACCCGGGAACUGCUUUGGAAACUGUCGAUCUGGAGUGUUGGAGAGGUAAGUGGAAUUCCUGGUGUAGCGGUGAAAUGCGUAGAGAUCAGGAAGAACACCGGAGGCGAAGGCGGCUUACUGGACAAAGACUGACGUUGAGGCUCGAAAGCGUGGGAAGCAAACAGGAUUAGAUACCCCUGUAGUCCCUGUCUCUUAUAA